Molecule: ribosomal RNA, 468 nt
Filed under: uncultured bacterium
Lineage: Bacteria
Description: partial 16S ribosomal RNA
Rfam family: Bacterial small subunit ribosomal RNA
Source: RNAcentral
GACGAACGCUGGCGGCGUGCUUAAUACAUGCAAGUCGAACGGAAAGGCCAUGCUCUUGUGGGGUGCUCGAGUGGCGAACGGGUGAGUGAAACAUGAGUAACCUGCCCUUGAAUUAGGGAUAACUUCAGGAAACAGGGGCGAUUACCGCAUAGGAGCUCCUGCUGCAUGGUGGGGGUUGGAAAGUGACGGCGGUUGGGGCUGGACUAGAGGCUUAUCGGCUUGAUGGGGUGGUAGUGGAUUACAAGGGCUUUGACGGGUAGCCGGCCUGGGAGGGUGACCGGGCACAUGGCUACUGCGAGACGCCCCAGACUCGUACGUGAGGCAGCAGUGGGGAAUAUGGCACAAUGGGCGGAAGCCUGAUGCAGCAACGCCGCGUGCGUGAUGACGGCCUUCGGGUUGUAAACCGCUGUCGCCUGUGACGAAGCGUUAGUGACGGUAAUGGGUAAAGAAGCACCGGCUAACUACGUG